RNAcentral lists this unclassified non-coding RNA (683 nucleotides) under Hevea brasiliensis (rubber tree). Lineage: Eukaryota; Viridiplantae; Streptophyta; Magnoliopsida; Malpighiales; Euphorbiaceae. The record is from RNAcentral.
GAGAAUAUUGAUCCUCAUUCUGCAUAAGAAAAUUCCGGUACAUUUCAUGCCGUGUCGGUGUCAGCAAGGUACACCAAAAGUAGUAAACAGGGUGGCAAAAAAGAGGAGGAUUUAGCAAUUUGUUGAUUUUUCCUUCUUUCUUUCUUUCUUGUCAACUUCAAAACCCCAUCGGCUCUCUUUCAAGGUUCCCCUUUCUUUCUCUAUUAACGCCUCUCUCUGAGUUCUUGUUGAUAUUUCCAAAGACCCCAUUUUUAACACUGCUCACAAUAUGGCUGGCGAAUCCAUUUCAGGCAAUUUAAAAGACCUUUCCUUGAAUAGAAAUGGUGCGGUGUCAAAGAAGUCUCAUUUAGUUGUUUGCUUUGGGGAGAUGCUCAUUGACUUCAUCCCAACUGUUGCUGGAGUUUCACUUGCGGAAGCUCCUGCCUUUGAAAAAGCUCCCGGUGGUGCACCUGCUAAUGUUGCUGUGUGCAUCUCAAAGUUAGGGGGUUCAUCUGCUUUUAUUGGAAAGGUUGGUGACGAUGAGUUCGGCCGUAUGUUGGCUGACAUUUUGAAGCAAAACAAUGUUGACAAUUCCGGCAUGCGGUUUGAUCAUGAUGCAAGGACUGCACUGGCCUUCAUUACACUCACAGCUGAAGGUGAGCGGGAGUUCGUGUUUUUCCGUAAUCCUAGUGCUGAUAUGCUUC